RNAcentral lists this ribosomal RNA (2787 nucleotides) under Triticum aestivum (bread wheat). Its description in RNAcentral is "partial small subunit ribosomal RNA". Lineage: Eukaryota; Viridiplantae; Streptophyta; Magnoliopsida; Poales; Poaceae. The record is from RNAcentral.
AUGUGGAGAAUCUUGGAGCAAAAGGCAUGGCAUCGAAAUUUGACACUAGAAAAACUGGACAUAAACUAUCUAAAAACUAUCACAAAAAAUUUCUCUGAAGAUCAAAUAAUUGGACGCGGUGGGUUUGGAGUUGUUUACAAGGGUGAGAAAGAAAAUGGUGAGGUUGUUGCAGUGAAGAAGCUUAUUUCAAGCACGGCACCAAUGGAUGAUAAGCAAUUUAUGAACGAGGUUCAGCAUGUUAUGGAUAUAUGCCAUCCUAAUAUUGUAAGACUAGAAGGCUAUUGUCACCAAACAGAAAAGGAAAUAAUAACUUUCCAAGAUGGACAGUCAAAAUUCGUGGAUGAGGAGUAUAGACUUCUAUGUUUCGAGUAUCUCCCUAAUGGAAGCCUCGACAAGCAUCUCAAUGAUGAAUCUUCUGGGUUAGAGUGGCACGCACGUUACAAUAUAAUUGAAGGGAUUUGCACCGGUUUAUAUUGUCUUCAUGAAGGUAGAAAAGGUGCACCGGUUCUUCAUCUGGAUCUAAAACCUAGCAACAUAUUGCUAGAUAAGAACAUGACACCCAAAAUCGCUGACUUCGGCUUGUCAAGGCUAUUUGAUGGAGGAAAUACUCAUAUUAGCACCGAGCAUGUAGUCGGAACACGAGGAUACAUGGCACCUGAAUAUAUAGAAAGCAAAAUUCUCUCAGAAGAGUCGGAUAUAUUCAGUUUGGGCGUUAUACUCGCACAAAUAGUGAUCGGACAGAGGAAGUACCCUGAAGGAACAAGUAAUGAGGAGUUCAUUGAGGUAUCUGAAAAAUGGAGGACAAGGUUACAGAAAACAUCAAAGAAGACAUCCUUGGAAGCGGAGUGCCGACAAGUAGAUGAAUGCAUUCGAGUAGCGCGAAAAUGCAUGGAUAAAGACCGAAAGAGAAGGCCAACUAUAAGAGAAAUAGUUGAGAUUCUUGAAAAAAUUAAGUGUUCGAAAGACAGACAAGUGAUUGGCAUCGAUCUCGGCACGACCUACUCCUGUGUUGGAGUCUGGCUGGAUGGUCGUGUGGAGAUUGUUGCCAAUGACGAAGGAAACCGCACAACACCGUCAUGUGUCGCCUUCACCGACUACGAGAGGUUUAUUGGCGAGGGGGCUAACAAUCAGAUAUCAAUUAAUGCAUCGAACACCAUCUUCGAUAUGAAGCGGCUCAUCGGCCGGAGUUUCUCUGACCCGUCCGUGAAGAGCGAUGCCAAGUAUUGGCCAUUUCAGGUGAUCCAGGGCCCCGACGAAAGGCCCAGGAUCAAGGUGAGUUACCUUGGCAGGGAGAAGUUGUUCUCGCCGGAGGAGAUCUCUGCCAUGGUGCUCGUGAAGAUGAAGGAGACAGCUGAGGUCUACCUUGGACCUGGAACGACCAUCGAGAAUGCUGUGGUGACUGUCCCAGCCUACUUCAACAACUCCCAGCGCAAGGCGACCAAGGAUGCUGCCACCAUCGCCGGCCUUAAUGUCUUGCGCAUCAUCAACGAACCUACCGCAGCGGCCAUUGCCUACAGCCUUGACCGGAAGUGGGGCAACGCUGAAGAGAGCAUUGUGCUAGUGUAUGACUUGGGCGGUGGGACGCUUGAUGUAUCCCUCGUCGUUGUCAAGAAAGGUCAAGGGUCUGAGAAAGGCAUGCUGGAGGUCAAGGCUACCGCCGGCGACACUCACCUCGGAGGUGAGGAUUUUACCAACAACAUGGUGGAUCAUUUCGUCAAGGAAUUCCAGAAGAAAAAGGGCAAGGAUAUCAGCGGCGACAAGAAGGCGGUCCGGCGCCUGAAGAACUCGUGCGAGAAGGCCAAGAGGAUGCUCUCCUCCCACGCCCAGACCGUUGUGGAUGUCGAAGCUCUUUUUGAGGGCAUCGACUUCUACUCCGAAAUCACCUGCGGCCUGUUUGAUCAGCUGAACAAGGACCUGUUCAGCAAAUGCAUGGAGCCGGUUGAGAGGUGCCUGUUGGACGCCAAGAUGGACAAGAAGAAAGUGGACGAUGUCGUGCUCAUCGGGGGCUCCGCACGGAUCCCCCGCGUGCACCGGCUCGUCAAGGACUUCUUCAAUGGGAAGGAGCCCUGCCAGAGUAUCAACGCCGACGAGGCCGUUGCAUAUGGAGCCACCGUCCAGGCCGCCAUCCUCAUGGGCCACAUAGAGCAUGACAUCCACCUGCAUCUCAUCGACGUCAUUCCGCUCUCACAGGGCACCGACGUCAAGGGAGGACUCAUGAGGGUGGUGAUCCCGAGGAACACCACCAUCCCCACAACCAAGGAGGAGAACUUUGUCACAACUAUGGACAACCAGUCCAGCAUGAGUAUCGGCGUGUACGAGGGCGAGAGGGCCAUGGUAGACGACAACAGCCUGCGCGGCAAGUUCAUGCUUUCAGGCCUCACGUUGGCUCCUAAGGGAGUCACUAAAGUCAACGUGCGGUUUGAGGUUGAUGAAGACGGGAUCCUGCACGUCUCGGCAGAAGACAAGAAGUCUGCUCAGAAGGAGAAGAUAACCAUCAUGAAUGACGUGGGGCGUUUUAGCAUGGAGGAGAUUCAGAGAAUGGUGGAGGAGGCCCAGGAGUACAAGGCCGUGGAUGAGGAACACAAGAACAAGGUACAAGCACGGAACGACAUUGAGGAUUUGCUAUACAAGAUGUGCAACACUCUCAAGCUCCAGGACGCAGUUGAUGAGGUUACAAGCUGGCUCCAAGACAACAAGCUCACCACCAGCCAGAUUAAUGACAAGAAGAAGCAGAUUGAGGGUCAAUACAACAGCAUCAGCAGCCAGAUUGAGAGUGCUUCUCCCUAA